CGUAACUAUAACGGUCCUAAGGUAGCGAAAUUCCUUGUCGGGUAAGUUCCGACCUGCACGAAUGGCGUAAUGAUGGCCAGGCUGUCUCCACCCGAGACUCAGUGAAAUUGAACUCGCUGUGAAGAUGCAGUGUACCCGCGGCAAGACGGAAAGACCCCGUGAACCUUUACUAUAGCUUGACACUGAACAUUGAGCCUUGAUGUGUAGGAUAGGUGGGAGGCUUUGAAGUGUGGACGCCAGUCUGCAUGGAGCCGACCUUGAAAUACCACCCUUUAAUGUUUGAUGUUCUAACGUUGACCCGUAAUCCGGGUUGCGGACAGUGUCUGGUGGGUAGUUUGACUGGGGCGGUCUCCUCCUAAAGAGUAACGGAGGAGCACGAAGGUUGGCUAAUCCUGGUCGGACAUCAGGAGGUUAGUGCAAUGGCAUAAGCCAGCUUGACUGCGAGCGUGACGGCGCGAGCAGGUGCGAAAGCAGGUCAUAGUGAUCCGGUGGUUCUGAAUGGAAGGGCCAUCGCUCAACGGAUAAAAGGUACUCCGGGGAUAACAGGCUGAUACCGCCCAAGAGUUCAUAUCGACGGCGGUGUUUGGCACCUCGAUGUCGGCUCAUCACAUCCUGGGGCUGAAGUAGGUCCCAAGGGUAUGGCUGUUCGCCAUUUAAAGUGGUACGCGAGCUGGGUUUAGAACGUCGUGAGACAGUUCGGUCCCUAUCUGCCGUGGGCGCUGGAGAACUGAGGGGGGCUGCUCCUAGUACGAGAGGACCGGAGUGGACGCAUCACUGGUGUUCGGGUUGUCAUGCCAAUGGCACUGCCCGGUAGCUAAAUGCGGAAGAGAUAAGUGCUGAAAGCAUCUAAGCACGAAACUUGCCCCGAGAUGAGUUCUCCCUGACUCCUUGAGAGUCCUGAAGGAACGUUGAAGACGACGACGUUGAUAGGCCGGGUGUGUAAGCGCAGCGAUGCGUUGAGCUAACCGGUACUAAUGAACCGUGAGGCUUAACCUU
This 996-nucleotide ribosomal RNA is filed under the name Escherichia coli. Its description in RNAcentral is "partial 23S ribosomal RNA". It matches the Rfam family "Bacterial large subunit ribosomal RNA", at positions 1935 to 2925 of the family's 2925-position model. Lineage: Bacteria; Pseudomonadati; Pseudomonadota; Gammaproteobacteria; Enterobacterales; Enterobacteriaceae. The record is from RNAcentral.